RNAcentral lists this long non-coding RNA (2425 nucleotides) under Callithrix jacchus (white-tufted-ear marmoset). Its description in RNAcentral is "lncRNA (ENSCJAG00000072991.1)". The record is from RNAcentral. Lineage: Eukaryota; Metazoa; Chordata; Mammalia; Primates; Cebidae.
AUGCUCAAGCAGUCCUCCUACCUUAUACUCCUGAAUAGCUGGGACUACAGGUAUUCAUACCACCAUACCUGGCUAAUGUAUUUUAUUUUAUUUUUUAUAGAGAUGGGAUGCCACUAUGUUGCCCAGUCUGGUCUUGAACUUCUGGGCUCAGUGAUCCUCCUUUCAUGCUUCCAAAGUGCCAGGAUUACAGGUGAUCCCAGAUUAUCAUCAUUGAAGCAGCACUGUCAUCUUGACUAUAUCAUACUGUCAUACUGUCUUUACUCCUUAACAAUGGAGCUACACCUGCUACUUUCCCAAAGUGGGGUAUGUGUGUCUGUGUGUGUGUAUUGGUGUUUGGGAAGAAGGUAAGAGUAGAAAACACAGAAAGAAAAACCUAAUGUCUCAAAAUAUUUGGAUUGUGUGAACUGUGUACUUGACUAGGUUUAUCUUUUUCAAGUUGGUUACUAGAAAGCCUAAAAUUACAUUAUGUUUCACCUUCAAAUAAUAAUGAUGAAAUAAUAAUAAUAGUAUUAAUAAUGAUGAAUAGCAUUUACUAAGUUCUUAUUUUGUUCAAGUUAUAUUCAAAGCAUUCUGUGUAUAAUUCAAUUUAGGCAAUUGAGGCAAUGAAAUUUCCCUGAAACUGUUCAUCGGCCUGCAGCACAGGUUGACUUUCCCUCUGCCCUCUCCUACUUUCUCAUUUGUCUUUAUAAUAGCACCAUGAGGCAAAUACUACCAUUAUCCCCAUUUUUAUAAAAUGGCAUGUGCAGAACUUAAGCUAUAUAAAUCCUGUAUCCAUUUAGUCACUCAAAUAUUAAAACCUGGCAUGUCAAAUCCAAUUAUAGAAAAGAGAUAAAAAUACAAAUAAAGGUAAAAAAGGAGACCUAAUUACAAUGUAGAGAUGAAAAACUAUAAUAUUAUGAACAAUUAUAUUAUCUUCAUUGGACAACUAAGAUGAAAUUAAUAUAUAAAUUACCAAAAUUGGUCAUGUAUGUAAACAUAGACUCUAAAAGUAUAAAACACCUAAGUGUAAAGGUAAUAAUAUAAAACAAGAAAAUAAAGAAACAUUUUUGUGACUUUGAGGUAGUAAACAAUUACAAAAUUCCCACAGAAAGACAUUGAUGAAUUAGUGUAUACUAAAAUGAAAUAUUUCUAAAUAUCAUAAGCCAAUUGAAGAAUAGAUGACAAGUUGAGAAAAAAAUAUUUACAUCUUAAUUUGACAAGAGAUUAAUUUCUAAAAAAAAAAAAGUAAAAGAAGACAUGAAAGUCAAUAGAAAAGCAGCUAAUAGAGAUGAACGGGCACCUCACAGAGGGGAACUCCCAAAGGCUAACAGCUACAUAGAUAUUAAAUUCACUAGCGAUAAAAGUAAUAAAAAUUGCCCUUUACCCAAUAGAAGAACUAUACUGAGAAAGGUAGGUUAUUACCUAACCUCGCAUAAAAGUUGAUACGGUGAGGAGUUGGAACUCUACUAGAUGUAUCUGUAAAUGUAAAUAUUUAAGACCAUCUGAAAGAAAUAUAAUAGUAUUUACCAAAAUUAAAGCAUAUACCCAGAAACUGAACUCCUGAGUAGUAUAGAAUUGAAGGUAACUUUCAUAACUACAAAUGUUGUAAACACAGUGAUUUGUCUAAUAGAUUUUCUUUCAAUGAAAUAUUUAUUGUACUAUGAACUGGGGAUGCUGUCACUAGACAGCCUUUAGUCUGAGCCCCUUCAGGGCACUCCAAGAGAAGUUUUGGCUGAAAAGAAGCUACCUAGCCCAAGCCCUUCUAUGACCAUCACACAUCCAAUGGCUGACAGAUAUGUGAAACGCUUGAGAUUUCUGUCUAGUUCAGAAAAUCUCUGAAGGCCAUUCUAGCUCUAGCAUUUCCCAUGAAGUUGCCAAAACUGUGACUGAGUCUGCAUCACAGCUUGACUUUCCCUCUACUGCCUCCCACUUCCUUCCUCUCAUUCUGUAAUAAACCAUUAGCAUGCUAAACUCCAUGUUAACACAUACUUCCAGGGAAACCCAAGCUGGCUAAGAAAGCUAAUGCUAAAGAGGAAGCUCUGAAGCUGGAUCACUCACUACCCAGCUGACAAUGAAUAUUUCAUCAUUGAUGGUAGGUUGAGCUGUUAAUCUUAGCACCAGGCAGAAAAUUGGAAUAUUAUACUGGUGGAACUAGAUGCAUUAGAUAGGAUGAUAUAGUAGGUAUUUGAGAAAUCAUGAGUAAUUAGAAACUAUUAAGUGCAAAUAAAUGAAAUUGCUAAGCUGUACUCUUGUUAUAUAUAAAAAAAGGAUAACAAAAGGUUGACCUACUUGGGUAACUUUUACUUCCAAUCCUUUCACUCAUGGGUACUGCUAGUUUAGAAAACCUGAUUUCUAAAAUAGGGGAUCCUUCUGUCAGGGGCUUAAGAGACCCACUGCAUUAUAAGUUGUGAUUGCUGUUUAAGAAGCAUAGGCUCUUUAUACUAAG